This 335-nucleotide unclassified non-coding RNA is filed under the name soil metagenome. RNAcentral's name for it is "partial contains 5.8S ribosomal RNA, internal transcribed spacer 2, and large subunit ribosomal RNA". The stretch from base 1 to 120 matches the Rfam family "5.8S ribosomal RNA", at positions 35 to 154 of the family's 154-position model. The record is from RNAcentral.
GAUGAAGAACGUAGCGAAAUGCGAUAAGUAAUGUGAAUUGCAGAAUUCAGUGAAUCAUCGAAUCUUUGAACGCACAUUGCGCCCGCUAGUAUUCUGGCGGGCAUGCCUGUUCGAGCGUCAUUUCAACCAUCCAGCCCUUUAGCUUGUGUUGGGGACCUGCGGCUGCCGCAGCCCCCGAAAUGCAGUGGCGGGCUCGUUGUCACACCGAGUGCAGUAAUCAUUCUUCUCUCCGGGCGUGGCGGCGGGUUCCGGCCGUAAAAUCACCAAUUUAUCAAGGUUGACCUCGGAUCAGGUAGGAAUACCCGCUGAACUUAAGCAUAUCAAUAAGCGGAGGA